This 25-nucleotide microRNA is filed under the name Ectocarpus siliculosus. RNAcentral's name for it is "esi-miR8629". The record is from miRBase by way of RNAcentral. Lineage: Eukaryota; Phaeophyceae; Ectocarpales; Ectocarpaceae.
CCACAGCAGUCACCACUAGCUUCAA